AUGACAGAGGAUACGACAGAGGAUAUGACAGAUAUGAAGAGUAUGAUUAUCGCUACAGGAGGCGAUCACCUUCACCAUAUUAUAGUCGUUACAGAUCAAGAUCAAGAUCUCGUUCCUACAGUCCAAGGCGUUAUUAAGAAGAGAAGUCAGUUACAGAGCAAAUACCAUUUUUCAACAGCAUGUUCCGAUCCUAGCUUUUCCUGUUGGUUCCCUGGCAUUAUCCUGUAUCCAAUUAAGAUGUUCCUGGUUAAGAUGUAUUUUCUUUUGAAGUAUUCAUUUUCAUCUCUUCUUACUGUAAUAUUCCAGGUGUAAUUGUUGUAGUUUUAUGUACAUCUUUAAACAAAAAUUAAUGGGAAUCCCAGAGUGGUAAAAUAUUUUGUAAUUCAUGCAUUUGUUUGUUUUUUAAACAAGUGGAUUUUUGUUGACUCAUGGAGAAAGAACUGAUAUGUGCUAAUGCUUGCAUGUCAUCUUUUCAAUAGAAAACUACUAUUGUAAUAACCUCUCAUCUUUCUGGUUUAAAAAAAAUCCUCUUGUCCAGUUUGUUUCAUUUUAACACAAUUUUGGUAUAUAAAACACAGAAUUUUCCUGUAUUUUCAGUUUAAUAAUUAAAAAAUAUUGGACUGGGAUCCUUCGGAGGGGAGAAGAAAAACUUCUACCCAACACACUUUCUUUAAUGGGCUUUUGUAAAAUAAUCCCAGUGCUGCUGAGAGGAAAUUAAAAUUUGUUUUAAAUACCAGGCUAACCCACAAAGUAUUCCUCCUAUUUUUAUUAUCCCACAAUCAGGAUAAGCCUAACUGACUAAAUAAGAAAUAUUUGAUUUGUUCACACACCUCUGUAUGAAACAGAAAUUAAGAUGAUGCAGGUUCUAUUUAGUAGUAUUAUCUGAAAUUGUAAUUAUUUGACUUCUCAAAAUAAAUUUAAAUUGUAC
This 928-nucleotide long non-coding RNA is filed under the name Naja naja (Indian cobra). RNAcentral's name for it is "lncRNA (ENSNNAG00000013822.1)". Lineage: Eukaryota; Metazoa; Chordata; Lepidosauria; Squamata; Elapidae. The record is from RNAcentral.